This 465-nucleotide ribosomal RNA is filed under the name uncultured bacterium. RNAcentral's name for it is "partial 16S ribosomal RNA". It matches the Rfam family "Bacterial small subunit ribosomal RNA", at positions 338 to 795 of the family's 1533-position model. The record is from RNAcentral.
CCUACGGGAGGCAGCAGUAGGGAAUUUUCGUCAAUGGGCGCAAGCCUGAACGAGCGAUGCCGCGUGAGUGAAGAAGGCCUUCGGGUCGUAAAGCUCUGUUGCGGGGGAAAAAAGGCAGCAUCAGGAAAUGGGUGCUGACUGAUGGUGCCCCGCCAGAAAGUCACGGCUAACUACGUGCCAGCAGCCGCGGUAAUACGUAGGUGGCGAGCGUUAUCCGGAAGGAUUGGGCGUAAAGGGUGCGCAGGCGGUCCUGCAAGUCUGGAGUGAAACGCAGGAGAUCAAAGCAUGCAUGGAUUUGGAGACUGGAGGACUGGAGAGCAGGAGAGGGCGGUGGAACUCCAGGGGUAGCGGUAAAAUGCGUAGAUAUAUGGAAGAACACCAGUGGCGAAGGCGGCCGCCUGGCCUGUUGCUGACGCUGAGGCACGAAAGCGUGGGGAGCAAAUAGGAUUAGAUACCCCGGUAGUC